CGCAGGCGGUUUCNUAAGUCUGAUGUGAAAGCCCCCGGCUCAACCGGGGAGGGUCAUUGGAAACUGGGGAACUUGAGUGCAGAAGAGGAGAGUGGAAUUCCACGUGUAGCGGUGAAAUGCGUAGAGAUGUGGAGGAACACCAGUGGCGAAGGCGACUCUCUGGUCUGUAACUGACGCUGAGGCGCGAAAGCGUGGGGAGCGAACAGGAUUAGAUACCCUGGUAGUCCACGCCGUAAACGAUGAGUGCUAAGUGUUAGAGGGUUUCCGCCCUUUAGUGCUGCAGCAAACGCAUUAAGCACUCCGCCUGGGGAGUACGGUCGCAAGACUGAAACUCAAAGGAAUUGACGGGGGCCCGCACAAGCGGUGGAGCAUGUGGUUUAAUUCGAAGCANCGCGAAGAACCUUACCAGGUCUUGACAUCCUCUGACAACCCUAGAGAUAGGGCUUCCCCUUCGGGGGCAGAGUGACAGGUGGUGCAUGGUUGUCGUCAGCUCGUGUCGUGAGAUGUUGGGUUAAGUCCCGCAACGAGCGCNACCCUUGAUCUUAGUUGCCAGCAUUCAGUUGGGCACUCUAAGGUGACUGCCGGUGACAAACCGGAGGAAGGUGGGGAUGACGUCAAAUCAUCAUGCCCCCUUAUGACCUGGGCUACA
Molecule: ribosomal RNA, 649 nt
Filed under: Bacillus sp. SaH-12
Lineage: Bacteria; Bacillati; Bacillota; Bacilli; Caryophanales; Bacillaceae
Description: bacterial SSU rRNA
Rfam family: Bacterial small subunit ribosomal RNA
Source: RNAcentral